GCCGGAAGUGGGAGAAAUAUGUCCAGGAUGGGGAUUCGGUGCAACGAUUUGCUGGGUGCGUCCUGGCUACCGCUGCACACCUGCAUGCUUCGCGGCCCAGUAUCGGUUGGCGGCCUGGAAGUUGGGGAGCACUGGUUUAAGGAGGCGGAAGAGCGCAGAAGGAAGACAUUUGUGCCGUGAUUCUGUUGCAGAAAUCCCGAGAUGUGGGAGAGGGGCAGAUAAGGACCUAUCCACGGUUAUUCCAUGAGGGAACAGCAGUUCAUCGAGUACUUUGGAGAGAAACCAGCGGUAUUCUCAAGAGGAGGUCAGCUGACUGCCAUUGUCCAAAUACGAUUCGGGCCAUCAGACAGAGUCUCAGUGACAGAACCAGAUCCAGAGAACAUUCCUCCCCCGUGCAGCGUUACGGUCGAGGAGACGUCCAUGAGAAGAUUGUGAAGGAGCUGAAAAUCUGCCAGUGUGAAGGGCCAGGGGUUCCCUGUGUUCUGUUUGUGUACAAAGUGUCUCAUGAAAAUCAGGAUCUUUGAGAUGCCCUGCAGUGGGUCACAGGAGGUGAGACAGUGCGGAAGGAAGACAUUUGCUCUGUGAUUCUGUUGCAGAAAUCCGGAGAUUUUGGAGUAAACAAGAUGAUGACUGAUCCAGAGUUAUUCCAUGAGGGAACCAAUGUUUUUCAGAUAUUUUGGACAGAAAUGAGUGUCACGUGGACAAGUGCUGAUGAUUGCCACGCAGUGAUUCAGACCGUCAGACAGACUCUUGUCGACAAGACAAAAUCCAGAGGAGGGUCCUGUCCCGGGUCGAGCGAGGAUCCACAGGGCAGUGAGACGCUCAUUGUGCAAUGCGCCUACCUUGAUGUGCAGAGAGCAACCAGAUCAUUUGACAUCUUCAACCUGCACGCAAGUGAAGAGCGAAAAGAGCUCAGAGAAGCUUCAGGGUAACGUGCAAUGUUAUGGUCGAGGAGCCGUCCAUGAAGAGAUUGUGAAGCAGUUGAAUAUCAACGAGUGUGAAUGGCCAAGGAUUCCCUGUGUCCUGUUUGUCUACAAUGUAUAUCAUGAAAUUGAGGAUUUUCGAAAUGCCCUGCAGUGGGUCACAGGAGGCGGAAGAGCGUGAAAGGAAGACAUUUGUGCCGUGAUGGUGUUGCAGAAAUCCCUGGAUGUGGGAGAGGGGAAGAUAAGGACCUGUCCAGGGUUAUUCCAUGAAGGAACAGCAGUUCAAUUCCUCCAAAAUGAAGGCUUUUUUAAAUAAGAUUAAAUUUCCUCAAAUUACUGUUGAAGAUCAACAGAUCCUUGAUGCUCCAGUUACUGAACAUGAAAUUCAGAAAGCUGUGUUGUCAAUGCAAUCAGGUAAAGCACCAGAACUUGAUGGUUAUUCAGUAGGAUUUAAAAAAAUAUUUGAAAAAUUACUUUCAUCAUAUCUUUUGGAAAUAUUUCAUGAAUCUUUUGAGAAGGGUAAUUUACCUCCUUUUUAUGAAGCUUCUGUUUCCUUAAUCCUUAAGAAAGAUAAAGAUCCUAGCUGAAUGUUCAUCAUAUAGACCUAUUUCGCUAUUAAAUGUGGAUGCAUAAAUUCUUUUUCAGAUAAUGGUUAACCGUUUGGGAAAUAUUUUAACUAAAAUCAUCUCUGUGGAUCAAACAGACCUUAUUAAAGGCCGUUACUCUUUCUCCAAUGUUUGGAGAUCGAUGAACAUUAUAUACUCAUCACUAUAGGUUACUUCUCUUGACGCAUAAAAGGCAUUUUAUAGAGUUCAAUGGACAUAUCUGUUUAAUGUAUUAGAAAAAUUUGGCUUUGGUAAUAACUUUAAUAAUCCUAUUGGUACUGUUAUUACUAAUAAUUUCAGAUCUCCUUUUUUUCACUCUCACGAGGUAAGAGACAGAGAUGUCCAUUAAGUCCUUUAUUAUUUAAUCUUAUACUGGAGCCUUUGGCUAUAAUACUCCGUGAAGCUAAAAAUAUUCAUGGUAUCUCUAUAAAUGGGACCACACAUAAGAGUUUUCUUUACGCAGAUGAUCUUUUGGUUUAUAUUUCAAACCCUGAAGAAUCUAUUCAUAAUCUUUUGGAAAUAUUAAGUGAUUUUGGAAAAUUUUCAGGAUAAUAAACUUAAAUAAAAGUGAAUUGUUCCCUUUUAAUGCUCCUGUUUUUAUAUAUAACAAUAUUCCAUUCAGAGUUGUGAAUUCUUUUAAAUAUUUAGGUAUUAUCAUUACUAAAAUAUAUAAAGAUCUUUAUAAAGCUAAUGUAGUUCCUUUAAUGGACUCCAUGAAACAAUUAUUUUGUAGAUGGAUCCCACUUACACUUUCUUCAAUAGGUCAUAUUCAUGCCGUGAAAAUGAUGAUUUUACCUAGAUUUUUAUAUAUUUUUCAAAAUAUACCUAUCUUUUUGACUAAAAAAAAAUUUUGAUUAAAUUCUAUUAUUUCAUCCUUUAUUUGGAAUAAUAAAAAAACAAGAAUUAAUAAUCAUUUACAAAAAUCUUAAGAAGUUGGUGGACUUUCACUACCUAAUUUAAGAUUGUAUUACUGGGCUGUUAAUAUUUGACAAUUAUGGUUUUGGCUAUAUUGGCUUGAUAAGAGCCAAAAACCAGCUUGGAUUGAUUUGGAAUUAGAAGCUAUCAAACAAUUUCAUUUAACCUCAUUAUUAGGAGCUCCAUUACCUUUACAAUCUUGCUAAAAUUCCAGAUUUAAAUCUCUACCCUGUUAUUAAAUAGUCCUUACGGAUUUAGUUUCAGUUUCACAACUCUUUUAAUUUUAAACAAUUUAAAUUGUCUAGCUCUUUAUAUCGAAAUUUUCUAGUUAAACCAUCAAUAACCAAUCCCACUUUUCUCUUAUGGAGAAAUAACGGGAUCUGUUCUUCUGCAGAUUUAUUUUGUGAUGGUCGAUUGAUGACUUUUGAAGAGUUAAUUAACAAAUAUUCUCUCUCUCAGACACAUUUCCUGCAAUAUUUUCAGGUUAGAUAUUUUUUACAAAAAUACUUAUCUAAGUUUCCAUAUAUGCAAGAAUAUGAUUUGUUGGAUACUAUUUUGAAUAUGAAUCCUUUAGUGAGAGGUUCCACUGGUAGAAUUCAUAAUUUAUUUUUACUACAAAAAGAUAACCUCUCACUAAAGAUUAAACAAGAUUGGGAGAGAGAACUUAAUAUGAGCUUUGUUAAUGAAGAUUGUUUGUGAGUUUUGAAAAUGGUCAAUUCCUCUUCGAUGUGGAGUCUAGUACGAGAGGGAUUAAAGGGCGCCCAUUCAGAACAGAGAUGCGAAGAAAUUUUUUUAGCCAGAGGGUGGUGAAUCUAUGGAAUUUGUUGCCACCGGCAGCAGUGGAGGUCAAGUCAUUGGGUGUAUUUAAGGCAGAGAUAGGUGUCUGAGUAGCCAGGGCAUCAAAGUUUAUGGUGAGAAGGUGGGGGAGUGGGGCUGAAUGGGAGAAUAGAUCAGCUCAUGAUAAAUGGCGGAGCAGACUCGAUGGGCCGAAUGGCUGACUUCUGCUCCUUUGUCUGAUGGUCUUAUGGUCUUAUGUGCCAAUCACUGUUUAAUUCAAUUUAAAAUUGUUCAUCGUUAUUAUUUAACAAAAGAGAGACUAUCCAAAAUAUUUCCUAACAUAGACAACUAUUGUGAUGGGUGUAAAACUGAAGUAGCCACUUUUUCACAUAUGUUCUGACCAUGUUCUUCAUUAAAAUCUUUUUGAAAACCUUUAUUUUCUACAAUUUCUAAAGCUCUGAAAAUUAAUUUACAACUUAAUACAUUGACUGUCUUAUUUAGAAUCGUUCUACAUCAUAUUCAGGGUAUUUCAUCUUCAGACCAACAUAUAAUUGCAUUUGUUACAUUGUUGGCAAGAAGGGCUACUGUAUUUUAUUGAAAUGGAAAGACACCUCUGUCCCUACAUUAAUUCAAUGGUUUUCUCAAGUAAUGUUAUGUCUUAGCUUGGAAAAAAUUAGAAGUAGAACUUUUGAUCCUCAAUUCGAUUUUGAGAGAAGAUGGGGCUCUUUUGCCAAAUAUUAUCAUUUAAUUUGAAUUAAUUUGUAUAGUUUCCUUACAGUCUUAUAUAAAUGUGAGCUGGCAGUUGAUGAUUUUUCUCCUUUAUAUAUAUAUAUAUAGAUAGACAAUUGUAAGGUGUAUUGCUUCGGGAGUUAGUUCCUAAUGGUUUUUUUCUCUCUUUUAAUUCGUUUUCUUUUCCUUUCUCUUGUAGUUUGUAGGUUUUUUCUUUCAGUUAGUUGGGGUACUCUUUUUUCUUUAUUUUCUUUAUAAAAAUAACUUUUUUUUUCAUUAUCAUAUUCUUUUUUGAUAAGUUUUUUCUUCAGCUUUAUUAAAUGUACAUAUAUCAGUUUGUUGAAGUCUUGUAUCAUUUUAAAGCUGUAGAAGAUUAUGUAUCAACAAAAAGACUUUAAAAAUGAAAUGAGACAGAGUCUCAGUGACAGAACCAGAUCCAGAGAACAUUCCUCCCCCGGUGGAUAAAACCUGUCUCUCCCUGUCACGCCUCAUGCAUCACUGUAAGCUUCCCAUAUGGAAUAUGAGGAAUGUGAUUGAUAUGUGUCUUGGGUGGGAAAAUGAUGGAACGAACUAUGGUUGUUCAAUCAGUGACUGCUGCAGGAGGGAGUGAGGGUGGGAGGUUCGCAGUCCAAAAUGUCUUUGGGUCUGGAGAUCAAUUUAGCAACAAUUCCGAGCUUACAGGCUUCUGACUGAUGUGUGUGGUUUCCAGUAGGGCGGGACGACAAUCCGCCGGGCAACUUGACUUCAGUGGAGAAUGAACAAUUGGGUUGUUCGAUUUCUUCAGGAUGGAACCAACGGAAGAGAAGCAGGAAUUCGGAGAAGUGUAACAGUGAGAAUGCAAACUUGGGGCUUGCCCUGAGUGAUUGGGGCAGGAGUUGAGAAAUAUCAAGACUGCAGAGGCAGUAUGUUCCUGUCGAAGUGGAGGGUAAACCUGUCAAGAUGAGAGAUAUUCAAGCUUUGCUCAAGAAAAAUAUGGAAGAACAAGGUUCAAUUAGGUUAUUUCCCAGUGAAUCCCUUAACAUCAAAUGACUCAGAAUACUAUCAGGAGAGCAAAGAGAGAGGAUGUGAGAUGGAUCUAGAAGUUAAGGUUAAGGAAAAUCCCAAGAAGUUGUAUAGUGAUUAGCAUAAACUUUACAGUGGCAGCCGUGUGCGUCUAAUUGCCACCACUGCCUUUAAGGAGUUUGUACUUUCUCCCCGUGUCUGCAGUAGGUUUCCACUGAGUAUUCAGUUUCCUGCCAUUUUGCAAAGGGCGAGUGUUAGUAAGUUGAGGGCAUGCUACGUUGGCAGUGGAAUCAUAGUGACACGUACGGGCUCCCCCCAGUUCAUCCUUGUACUGUGUUGUUCAUUGACGCAAACAAGCAUUUCACUGAAUGUUUCAAUGAUUCAAUGUAGAAGUAACACAAAAACAGAUCUUUAAUCUGAUCUGUCACUAUUUUAAGAUUAAAAAGAUAAGUAAGGAGAAAUAGCUCACUUUAGAAGCACAGAAGGUCUGCUUAUGUCCUGAGCUGUAGGAAUAUGUUGGGAGAAAUUAACAUUUAGCAUGCUGACAUUCAUUAGUUGGGCAUUGAGUA
This is an RNA transcript of Mobula hypostoma (lesser devil ray), 5520 nucleotides long. RefSeq lists it as uncharacterized. The record is from RefSeq and is a predicted model, not a curated record. The transcript has 9 exons. Lineage: Eukaryota; Metazoa; Chordata; Chondrichthyes; Myliobatiformes; Myliobatidae.